UUUCUCCGCCGGCGACCGGCGCACGGGUGAGUAACACGUAUGCAACCUGCCCCUGUCAGGGGGACAACCCGCCGAAAGGCGGGCUAAACCCGCGUACAUGCCACCGGGCAUCCCGGAGGCAGGAAAGGCUUCGGCCGGACAGGGAUGGGCAUGCGGCGCAUUAGGCAGUAGGCGGGGUAACGGCCCACCUAACCGACGAUGCGUAGGGGUUCUGAGAGGAAGGUCCCCCACACUGGUACUGAGACACGGACCAGACUCCUACGGGAGGCAGCAG
Molecule: ribosomal RNA, 274 nt
Filed under: uncultured bacterium
Lineage: Bacteria
Description: partial 16S ribosomal RNA
Rfam family: Bacterial small subunit ribosomal RNA
Source: RNAcentral